Molecule: non-coding RNA, 353 nt
Organism: Schizosaccharomyces pombe (fission yeast)
Lineage: Eukaryota; Fungi; Ascomycota; Schizosaccharomycetes; Schizosaccharomycetales; Schizosaccharomycetaceae
Source: the annotation of a GenBank genome assembly
ACAAAUGCCUGCUUGAAAUCCAUUUCUCUGCAGUAGAGACCUUCUCAUAUUAUUGUAACCGUUAAUCCUUAUACAUUUUGGAAAUCUGAAAAGUAAGUUUUUAGCAAACAUGGUUUUUUUGAUUUAUGGGAAGUUGAGCUCUGAACUUCUAAUGUCUGCGUAAUGGUCAGAAAGCGGCGACGAUCUUACAAGAACGUAACUUUGUCAUUCAUUCUAAGUUUAUAUAAGUUUGCAUGUUUUUUAAAUCAGAUUUAAGUAAAUAGGUAUUCACAAAUGUAAGACAAGCAAGACUGGCAGGAUUUACGAGAUUACUAAGAAAUGCCUGAAUGACUAAUUUCAUAAUAGAAUUAAAC